UACGUAGGGUGCAAGCGUUAAUCGGAAUUACUGGGCGUAAAGCGUGCGCAGGCGGUUUUGUAAGUCUGUCGUGAAAUCCCCGGGCUUAACCUGGGAAUGGCGAUGGAGACUGCAAGGCUGGAAUCUGGCAGAGGGGGGUAGAAUUCCACGUGUAGCAGUGAGAUGCGUAGAGAUGUGGAGGAACACCGAUGGCGAAGGCAGCCCCCUGGGCUAAGAUUGACGCUCAUGCACGAAAGCGUGGGGAGCAAACAGG
RNAcentral lists this ribosomal RNA (253 nucleotides) under uncultured bacterium. RNAcentral's name for it is "partial 16S ribosomal RNA". It matches the Rfam family "Bacterial small subunit ribosomal RNA", at positions 524 to 776 of the family's 1533-position model. The record is from RNAcentral.